RNAcentral lists this ribosomal RNA (265 nucleotides) under uncultured archaeon. RNAcentral's name for it is "partial 16S ribosomal RNA". It matches the Rfam family "Archaeal small subunit ribosomal RNA", at positions 719 to 982 of the family's 1478-position model. The record is from RNAcentral.
ACAGUCACACAUUAGAUACCCGUGUAGUCCUAGCCGUAAACGAUACUCGCUAGGUGUCGGCCACGGUGCGACCGUUGUCGGUGCCGUAGGGAAGCCGUGAAGCGAGCCACCUGGGAAGUACGGCCGCAAGGCUGAAACUUAAAGGAAUUGGCGGGGGAGCACAACAACGGGUGGAGCUUGCGGUUUAAUUGGAUUCAACGCCGGAAAUCUUACCGGGACCGACAGCACCAUGAAGGCCAAGCUGAAGACUUUGCCGGAUUAGCUG